CCUACGGGGGGCUGCAGUGGGGAAUAUUGGACAAUGGGCGAAAGCCUGAUCCAGCCAUGCCGCGUGUGUGAAGAAGGCCUUCGGGUUGUAAAGCACUUUCAGUGGGGAAGAAAGCCUUGGGGCUAAUACCCUCGAGGAAGGACAUCACCCACAGAAGAAGCACCGGCUAACUCCGUGCCAGCAGCCGCGGUAAUACGGAGGGUGCGAGCGUUAAUCGGAAUUACUGGGCGUAAAGCGCGCGUAGGCGGUCUGAUAAGCCGGUUGUGAAAGCCCCGGGCUCAACCUGGGAAUGGCAUCCGGAACUGUCAGGCUAGAGUGCAGGAGAGGAAGGUAGAAUUCCCGGUGUAGCGGUGAAAUGCGUAGAGAUCGGGAGGAAUACCAGUGGCGAAGGCGGCCUUCUGGACUGACACUGACGCUGAGGUGCGAAAGCGUGGGUAGCAAACAGGAUUAGAUACCCUUGUAGUC
This 465-nucleotide ribosomal RNA is filed under the name Vreelandella stevensii. RNAcentral's name for it is "partial 16S ribosomal RNA". It matches the Rfam family "Bacterial small subunit ribosomal RNA", at positions 338 to 795 of the family's 1533-position model. The record is from RNAcentral. Lineage: Bacteria; Pseudomonadati; Pseudomonadota; Gammaproteobacteria; Oceanospirillales; Halomonadaceae.